Molecule: long non-coding RNA, 285 nt
Organism: Octopus sinensis (East Asian common octopus)
Lineage: Eukaryota; Metazoa; Mollusca; Cephalopoda; Octopoda; Octopodidae
Exons: 2
Source: RefSeq, a predicted model, not a curated record
AAAUAAUCAGCGUUCGGCGUUAAUUUUCCUACAUACAGUAAGAAAACUAAAAAUCUUACCACCAUGAACGGAUUAUAUUAUGGAAUAUGCCUUUUAUUCGACGUACCCAAACUGUAUGCUCAUAGCAGUGUCAUCUCUGGUGCUUUCAUUGCAGCAGUCGCCUUCAAGAAGUUACUUCUCUAAAUUUUUUAUUAUGAUAUUCAUAAAAUUGAUAAAUAUCUGUUGAUUUAAAAGUUGUAAACUUGUUUUUUAAAUGAAUGUACGAGUUAAAAGAGUACAAAUUCU